UACGGAGGGUGCAAGCGUUACCCGGAUUCACUGGGUUUAAAGGGUGCGUAGGUGGGCAGGUAAGUCAGUGGUGAAAUCUCCGGGCUUAACUCGGAAACUGCCAUUGAUACUAUCUGUCUUGAAUACCGUGGAGGUUAGCGGAAUAUGUCAUGUAGCGGUGAAAUGCUUAGAUAUGACAUAGAACACCAAUUGCGAAGGCAGCUGGCUACACGAAUAUUGACACUGAUGCACGAAAGCGUGGGGAUCAAACAGG
This 253-nucleotide ribosomal RNA is filed under the name uncultured bacterium. RNAcentral's name for it is "partial 16S ribosomal RNA". It matches the Rfam family "Bacterial small subunit ribosomal RNA", at positions 524 to 776 of the family's 1533-position model. The record is from RNAcentral.